AUCAAUUCUCGGCCUUUUGGCUAAGAUCAAAUGUAGUAUCUGUUCUUAUCAGUUUAAUAAUUUUUACUUCAGUAUUCCUGAACACUAAGGAAAACCAUGAUUUGCUUUCCCUGUUUUAUAAGUGUAAAAAAGCAAUUUUUAAUGACCCAGAGCAAAUUUGACUUAAAACACUCUCU
Molecule: small nuclear RNA, 176 nt
Filed under: Erinaceus europaeus (western European hedgehog)
Lineage: Eukaryota; Metazoa; Chordata; Mammalia; Eulipotyphla; Erinaceidae
Description: U2 spliceosomal RNA (ENSEEUG00000022074.1)
Rfam family: U2 spliceosomal RNA (bases 1-114)
About the family: U2 is a small nuclear RNA (snRNA) component of the spliceosome (involved in pre-mRNA splicing). Complementary binding between U2 snRNA (in an area lying towards the 5' end but 3' to hairpin I) and the branchpoint sequence (BPS) of the intron results the bulging out of an unpaired adenosine, on the BPS, which initiates a nucleophilic attack at the intronic 5' splice site, thus starting the first of two transesterification reactions that mediate splicing.
Source: RNAcentral